AGAACGAACGUUGGCGGCGUGGAUUAGGCAUGCAAGUCGAGCGAGAACCCACCUUCGGGUGGGGGAAAGCGGCGAACGGGUGAGUAACACGUGGGCAACCCACCCUUGGUAUCGGGAUAGCCCGGGGAAACCCGGAUUAAUACCGGAUGGCCCAGCAGCUCUUCGGGGCGGCUGGAAAAGGUAGCUUCGGCCUCCGACCAAGGACGGGCCCGCGGCGGAUUAGCUUGUUGGUGGGGUAAUGGCCUACCAAGGCGACGAUCCGUAGCUGGUCUGAGAGGACGAUCAGCCACACUGGGACUGAGACACGGCCCAGACUCCUACGGGAGGCAGCAGUGGGGAAUCUUGCGCAAUGGGCGAAAGCCUGACGCAGCGACGCCGCGUGGGGGAAGAAGGCUUUCGGGUUGUAAACCCCUUUCAGGUGGGACGAAGCCACUCGGGUUAAUAGCCCAGAGGGUGACGGUACCGCCAGAAGAAGCCCCGGCUAACUACGUGCCAGCAGCCGC
RNAcentral lists this ribosomal RNA (503 nucleotides) under uncultured bacterium. RNAcentral's name for it is "SSU rRNA". It matches the Rfam family "Bacterial small subunit ribosomal RNA", at positions 26 to 518 of the family's 1533-position model. The record is from RNAcentral.